This is a long non-coding RNA of Cercocebus atys (sooty mangabey), 5365 nucleotides long. RefSeq lists it as uncharacterized. The transcript is spliced from 4 exons. The record is from RefSeq and is a predicted model, not a curated record. NCBI's taxonomy places the organism in Eukaryota, Metazoa, Chordata, Mammalia, Primates, Cercopithecidae.
AGCCCAGCCAAUUUUUAAUCUAGUUUACAUUUACUUAGUGAUUUAUAUUUUUGGUCUCAGUUUGUUAUUCUGUUUUACGAUAUAUUUUCUAUAUGGCUCAUUAUUUCUACUUAAAUUCUUUCAAUUAUGUGUUUGCCUUUGUUUCAUCUUGCUAUCAGUAUUUCUUUUGGUGUUUAGGAAGUUUUGACUUUUAGAUCUUGUAGUUUAAUUUAUACCGUUAAAAACGUUACUUAAUCACCUCUUUUUAACGUACUCUGUGUUGACUUUCUUAUUACAAAUAAGACUAAAGUUAGUCCCUCACUGUUGCCCCUACCUUCCAAGUUUAAUCACUAGCGUUAUUUUAGUGUUCAUCAUUACAUCACAAAUUACUCAUGCUUCUACCUCAUUUAUUAAUUUACUAUAUAUUGUUAACUGUUAGAUGUAUUUUAAGUCUUAAAUAUGCUUAAGCAUGUACUACUUCAUUUGUUAGCUUCAAGUAAUAUUUACCUCCCGUUAAUGCACAUGAGAAAAGUUUAUUUCACUAUCCAUUAUUCCUACCUUGUAUUUUUGUUAGUGUUAAUAUUUGAACAUACAAAAAGUACAGAUUAUUUUUUCACCAGUUUUCCAUCUUAUAACCUUAGUUCCACUAAGUUAAAUAUUUCCUAAACCUUUAACAGACGUGUGUUUGGUAGAUUUUGGUUUUUUGGUAGAUUUGUCAGGAAGUAAUUAUGAGAAUGACAUCCCUUGACGUCUUGCAUAUUUAUAGCUGUUUGUCUGUGGCUUUUAUUUUGAAGAAGACUUUGGCUGGACAUAAAAUUCUCAUCUCAUAUUUUCUUCCCAUUAAAUUAUUUUUUAAAAGGCUACAUUCUUUUUCUAACAAAUGUCGCUAUUGAGAAUUCUUACAUCAAUCUGAUAGUUGUUUCCUCGUAAGUGAUUUUAACUUCUUGUCUGGAUACCACAGGGAUUUUUCAACUCAUUUUAAGAAUAUAAUAAUCAUUGCUUAGAAUAUGACAUGAUGUUCAUAAUUUUGGUCAAUUUUCUCAGAUACACAGUGUAAGGUACAUGGAUGUGCUUUGGUCAAGGAAUAGGCCGAGGCGGAUAUCCAGGCCUACAUGACUCAGCGAGUUUGGCGCACAGGCGCACACCUCCACUUGUUAUAUAACCUGUUUGUGUAAGUUCAUACUUGGCUUUGAGCCACUGUUGUCUGUAAAAGGUAUAAUUGCCCUGCUAAUGCUGUACAGGGGCUCUUCGGGCUCGGCUCAGCUCAACAUGGCUUAACAUGAUGGGUGUGCUGGCAUCCAGAGAAAGGGAGAGAGAGAACCAAAGCUGUCUGUCUUAGGGACAGAGGUGAGCCACAGCAUGGCUUGCGCUGGUGCCAAGAGAGAGAAAGAGUGAAGCUGCUGACCCUGAAGGCAAGGGAGAGCUGAUCAUGCAGCUGCAGGCGUGGGGGCAGCAGGUGCCACAGAGCCCGAGCAAACAGCCGAGAUAAAGGCGAAUAGUGUUGAGAGCUAGUGUGAGAAAGCUGCUGAUGAGAGUUGCUGCUGAAUAAAAUCAUCUUUUACCUGCCUACGGCCCCCAGAGUGUUCUUUCUGCUCAUCCACCCGCUCCCCUCGGACUUCAGCAUGGGCUGGACCUCGACCCUAGGAUCUGACAAUUGGCCAUGAGGAUGGGAUGAGCCAACACCUUUAUUGGAAAGUUUCUUGAGCUGACUGUUCAUUUGAAAUUUAUCCCUGAGAAGUUUGCACUGUGGAUCCUGCCUUUAUAAGAUGCUGACUUAUUUCCUUCACUCCUUCAACUGCAUGUGGGCAGACUAGGAAGGAACUAGCAGGAUUUCCUGAAUGAUAGACAUUCUCCUCCUUAUCUCCAGUCAUACGUCAGCAAUCCUACCUCUCUCCUUGAUAGUAAGAAUCAUUUACCCUAGAUAACACAAUAGAUAAGGAAUAUGGUAAUUGAAGCUCUUCCCACUUGAAGGUGUUUCCAUUCCCAUUGACCUUCCAGACCACUCAAAAUGGUAAAAGCAGAGCCGUAACGAUCCAGUUUUGUGUGGUGCCAGGAUGCCAUGAAGAACCAUCUGUAAGCCAGACUUGAGCAGCAUGAAAACGGACUAAUACAGACAUUCUGGGAAUGUGAAGAUCCCACCCGUGUUACUGUGAACACAUUCAGGAGCUGCCAAAGCCUGAUAAAGUACAUAUCUUUCCCACUUGGAAACAGAGGCUUAUUUAGUCCUGCCUGUCUUCGAUUGAGGAUGACAUUCUGCGGUUGAAAAAAAGGGUGAAGUUAUUUCCAGAAAGAAAAAAAAACUCUUUCACCCUGGAGCAGCCAUUUGGAAAUUAUUUAAUCACAGUAAGAGGAACCUUGAACACAUUAGGUUAUUUUCAGACGAUCUUUCCAGAGGUAAGCAGCCAAAUUCUCACUAAGAAUAAGUUCAUCUAGCAUUGAGAUUGCGUCAGUAUCAGAAACACAAAAUACUACUGAGCCAUGACAGUCUCUCUUAACCAAUGAUUUUAGAGAAAUCUGGGUGGUUUUCCAUGUGCCGCCUGGUGCUGGGCAGGUUGGCUGUUGCAUGUUUGUAAGGUUCAGCUGUGUCCAGAGAGAAAUAUAAAAUAAAUUAAUUUAGCACUGUCUCUGAAUUCUAAUAACAUAGUGUACUAUUUGUUCCUUAAAAAUGUGAAAAACAAAGUUCCAGAAAGUUAGACCCUUGGACAAGUUUGCUAUUAAGAGUAUAAAAAAACAAAUUAACUUGGUCAGAAUUUUAAAAACAGUGAUUUAUUUAAAAAUGAAACACAAAGAAAAUUGCAGCGGAAUUUUGCACAUGGUCAGGAUUUAUUAGCAAAUAAAACGUUAUGCAUAUAUAAUAAUUAUGGGAAUCCUCCUGCAUUUGCUGGGGACUUACUAUGUACCCACUGUUGCAGUACUUUUGCGGGUAUACUUUCCCUUCCAUUUUGUAUUGGGAGCUUGGUCUUGUUAGUGGGUCUGUAUUCUUCUACUCUUUACCUUUCAUUCCCUAGUUGGUUUACCUAAAUGCUUGCUGGGAUCUAAGGAUGUUGAAGGAGCAGCAUCUCUGUGGCCUGGGGCACACAGAUUACAGGGUUAAUACUUGAUAACUUGUUUACAUCUUGGAUCUCAGGGUCAAUUUUUCAAGUUUUUAUGAACUAUGACCAGCUGAACCAAAAUACUAAGAUCAUUGGCAUAUUUAAUAACAAUAAUUUUGUUUAAGAGAAAAGCUACGGAUGGACUCUAGGGUUGUAACUUUAGUAGCAAUUAUUUUUAUUUAUCCUAAUAUAUAAAGUUUGCAGUUCACUUAUUCAUUAAACAUUGACUUAUUAUACCUAUGUGCCAGAUACUGUGUUGGACCAUGGAGACACAAAAAUGAGUCCUAAUAGACAUCAUUUUUGUCAUCACAGAGCUCAAUGUUGGGAGGUGGGAGAAGAUAAGAAACACACAGAGAAAGACAUAACCAAAUAACACACACACUAAUACAAAAUUGCAUCUCUGAUAAAUACCUGAAGGAGUGAUUCACGUGCUUUCAGAGUUCUAAUUGCAGGAUGUAGCAGACAGAGGAAAGGAUGCUCUGAGGAAAUGAUUUCUGAGCUAAGAUCCAAGGAAUUAUUCAGAGUUAAGUGUUAAAGAUGUGGGAUGAAUCCAGGGAGAAGAACAUGUGCAAAGGUCCCGUGGCAUGAGAGACAGUGGCAAGAAGAAGGAUUGAAAGAAGGCUGGAGUAAAUAGCAAAGGCAGAGAGGUUGGAACAACAUGACGCUGGGUUGUUAGGUGGACUCCAGAUUGAGAUCUUCAUACUUUACAUAAAAACAUCUUUAAAAUAAUGGGUCUUAAAAAUGAGAGGGCUUUAAUUAGAGGUGGGAAGGUGACAGAGUUAGAUGUAAUUUUUUUCAUAAUCACAUUUGAGAGAGACCAGAGUGGAUGCUGGUAGACCUGGAGCAAUUUCACAUAGUUGUCUGGUUGAAAGAUAUAGUAGGUUUUACAUCUGGUUCCUUAAAAGGUCCACACUUCUUUAAGCACAAAUGUGAAAUGAAAUCGUUUUAUUUUCUCCCCUUACUUCUUUCAAGUAAACCUUGUCAGAUCUCAUUUUCUCAUCCCUUAGUGACAUCUGAACAGAUCCAUACCGCUUGCACACGUUUAAUCAUUUAGUCCAGUUCACGUUGGGCCCAUUCAAAACUUCAGUCUCAUGUUCACAUUGGAAUACUUCUGUCUUCUCUCAACUGCAUACAGCUUUGCUAAAGAACUUCCAAAAAUGACAAAGUGCUAUGUGUGCUUCCGUACCUUCUCCCCAUUCCACUAGCCAUUUCUCCUUUCGUAUGUUGAGAACUUGGAGAAGAGAUGAAGGGAGAAGGAGUCAGAUGCUUUUUUCUCUUAGUGGUGAUGAUGAUGCCAUCCUCUCUUGACCAUCAUUGUUUUUCUGGUGAAUUCCAAUGGGCUUCAAGUGUCCCCUUUGGGACAGCUCCCCAGAUGCCACCGUCUUCCAUGGAGCACGUGUGGGUUCUUCCAUAGCACAUGGGGGGCUCCUUGCCGCCUUGUUGCGCCACUGCCCUUGCUCCCAUCUCUCAUGUCCUACUUGUGCCUUCUUACUGCUGGCUCUUCCUUGCCCAGCAGUCAUCAUCCUACAUAAGUUGCUGGCAAGAUGACUCCCACCCAAGGAACUUCCACAGUGUCUGCUGGACCCGUGGGACACUUACUCAUCCUUGCCCAAGCAAAGGUAGGAAAUCAGGCUGUUUCUGGGCUGCCUCUCUAAAUUGACAUCUCUUUUUCAGUUCUUUCUUUUCUUCACUUAAAUAGUCACAAGUGUAUUGUGACUACUUAAGUAUAUGUAAACUAUAUAAACAGAUGUACCAGAAAAAGAGAAGCCAAUGAAAAUCCAUCUUCCAAUCUCUAUAAGAGAUUUUCGUGGAGCCCACUUCACCUGAACUUAUGGGAGUAGGGAUGCUGUCAGUGGGGCUGAUGGUGCAUCACAAAGCUGCAGACCGCUGCUGUAACCAUAACUUCCACUAUUCCCCUUGAGUCCCUUCCUUCCUCACAGUCAUCUUCUUAUGUAGGCUGGAGGAAGAUGGUGGGAUGAUAGCUGCAGGUUGUAGCUGGUUUGGAUAUUUAAUAAAUCCCAAGGAUGUAUCUGGUCCCCAAAUGCUUUCUGGGGUGUUUAGUAUGUGAAGUAACUUUUACUUUAUAUUCUCAACUCUGGCUUCUGCUUUGAUCUAGUGUGGCAAAAAGCAACUUCUUCAGAAUCCUAAAUGGUUUGGAACUGUAAUGACAUUAAAGGACAUGGAAACGCUGGGCUAGGCCAGAAAAGUACCUGAUAAAACACAUAUUACAGCUGGGUGCGGUGACUCACGCCUGUAAUCCCAGCACUUUGGGAGGCCUAGGCCUGUGGAUCUCC